Molecule: small nuclear RNA, 190 nt
Filed under: Leptobrachium leishanense (Leishan spiny toad)
Lineage: Eukaryota; Metazoa; Chordata; Amphibia; Anura; Megophryidae
Description: U2 spliceosomal RNA (ENSLLEG00000014929.1)
Rfam family: U2 spliceosomal RNA
About the family: U2 is a small nuclear RNA (snRNA) component of the spliceosome (involved in pre-mRNA splicing).
Source: Rfam by way of RNAcentral
AUUGCUUCUCUGCCUUUUGGCUAAGAUCAAGUGUAGUACCUAUUCUUUUCAGUUUAACAUCUGAUACGCCCCUAUCUGGGAGCCAUAUAUUAAAUGGAUUUUUAGAACAGGGAGAUGGAAGAAGAGCUUGCUCUGUCCACUCCACGCAUUGACCUGGUAUUGCAGUACCUCCAGGACCGGUGCACAAAAA